RNAcentral lists this ribosomal RNA (445 nucleotides) under uncultured bacterium. RNAcentral's name for it is "bacterial SSU rRNA". It matches the Rfam family "Bacterial small subunit ribosomal RNA", at positions 331 to 793 of the family's 1533-position model. The record is from RNAcentral.
CCAGACUCCUACGGGAGGCAGCAGUGGGGGAUAUUGCACAAUGGGGGAAACCCUGAUGCAGCGACGCCGCGUGGAGGAAGAAGGUCUUCGGAUUGUAAACUCCUGUCCUUGGGGACGAUAAUGACGGUACCCAAGGAGGAAGCACCGGCUGACUACGUGCCAGCAGCCGCGGUAAUACGUAGGGGGCAAGCGUUAUCCGGAUUUACUGGGUGUAAAGGGGGCGCAGACGGCGAUGCAAGCCAGGAGUGAAAGCCCGGGGCCCAACCCCGGGACUGCUCUUGGAACUGCGUGGCUGGAGUGCAGGAGGGGCAGGCGGAAUUCCUGGUGUAGCGGUGAAAUGCGUAGAUAUCAGGAGGAACACCGGUGGCGAAGGCGGCCUGCUGGACUGCAACUGACGUUGAGGCCCGAAAGCGUGGGGAGCAAACAGGAUUAGAUACCCGAGUAC